RNAcentral lists this unclassified non-coding RNA (219 nucleotides) under Hevea brasiliensis (rubber tree). Lineage: Eukaryota; Viridiplantae; Streptophyta; Magnoliopsida; Malpighiales; Euphorbiaceae. The record is from RNAcentral.
GAUCGAUAGAGCCUUCUGGUAUAGUUCUCGAGCUGUGGAAAUGUUUCCUUCUUUCCACUCCAUCCAACCCCAAGCAAUCCAAACUGGUUGAUGCCUUGGAUCCAGUUGAGAUGCUCUUCGGAAUAGAACUCGUGCAAGGUUUGCACUGGAGUUCUUGUAUUCUAUCAAACCAAGUGAUUGGAGAAGAACAGGAUCUCUAGGAUUCACCAUGUGCCCUAU